AUGGAAUGAGCGGCGGACGGGUGAGUAACACGUAGGCAACCUGCCUGUAAGACUGGGAUAACUCGUGGAAACGCGAGCUAAUACCGGAUAACACUUUUCAUCUCCUGAUGAGAAGUUGAAAGGCGGCUUUUGCUGUCACUUACAGAUGGGCCUGCGGCGCAUUAGCUAGUUGGUAAGGUAAUGGCUUACCAAGGCGACGAUGCGUAGCCGACCUGAGAGGGUGAUCGGCCACACUGGGACUGAGACACGGCCCAGACUCCUACGGGAGGCAGCAGUAGGGAAUCUUCCGCAAUGGACGAAAGUCUGACGGAGCAACGCCGCGUGAGUGAUGAAGGUUUUCGGAUCGUAAAACUCUGUUGUUAGGGAAGAACAAGUGCCAUAGUAACUGAUGGCACCUUGACGGUACCUAACCAGAAAGCCACGGCUAACUACGUGCCAGCAGCCGCGGUAAUACGUAGGUGGCAAGCGUUGUCCGGAAUUAUUGGGCGUAAAGCGCUCGCAGGCGGUUCUUUAAGUCUGAUGUGAAAUCUUACGGCUCAACCGUAAACGUGCAUUGGAAACUGGGGAACUUGAGUGCAGAAGAGGAGAGUGGAAUUCCACGUGUAGCGGUGAAAUGCGUAGAGAUGUGGAGGAACACCAGUGGCGAAGGCGACUCUCUGGUCUGUAACUGACGCUGAGGAGCGAAAGCGUGGGGAGCGAACAGGAUUAGAUACCCUGGUAGUCCACGCCGUAAACGAUGAGUGCUAGGUGUUAGGGGGUUUCCGCCCCUUAGUGCUGAAGUUAACGCAUUAAGCACUCCGCCUGGGGAGUACGGCCGCAAGGCUGAAACUC
RNAcentral lists this ribosomal RNA (831 nucleotides) under Oceanobacillus kimchii. RNAcentral's name for it is "bacterial SSU rRNA". It matches the Rfam family "Bacterial small subunit ribosomal RNA", at positions 86 to 902 of the family's 1533-position model. The record is from RNAcentral. Lineage: Bacteria; Bacillati; Bacillota; Bacilli; Caryophanales; Bacillaceae.